CCGGUAGGGUUCCCUACGGACCCGGUCCGUCCACCAUCUCCCAGGAUAUCUAGUCAGGCUGACCCCAUCAUACAAUUAUCAGUCUAUACAAUGUUUCAUUUCCCUUUUUCCUCAAUAAGCAUCAUCAAUUCACAUUUAAACAAGCAAAUCGUAAUUCAUGCCGAACAGACAACAUACAGUAUCAGUUCUUCAGUCAUUCAACCCAUAAUUAAUAAAACAGUAAUAUAUGCAUUCGAAACUAUAAAAUGAACACAUCAAACCCCAUAAUGCAUUUAAAGCUGUAAAACAGUGUAAAACAUGCCAAAUAACAGUAAAUCAUUAAUCACACUAGACUCGGGCUCCAUUGGCAACCUUAAGCAAUUUCACACAUGCGUUAAUUCAAGAAAUACCGUUUUAUCAUUUUGAACUUUAAUACCGUGAUAGGAAAUAGGGUGAGGGGUCCUUACUUGUUUUCGAGAUCCGAAUACGAUUCACAGUGCGCCUGCAGGCUGUCCCUAAUUUUCCCUGAAUUUUUUCCGGGGAACUGAAACACGCUAACAGUACCUGCACGUGUUCCAAAAAAAAAUCCAAAUUAGGCCCAGGGCCUCUUUCGGC
RNAcentral lists this long non-coding RNA (594 nucleotides) under Carica papaya (papaya). Its description in RNAcentral is "long non-coding RNA (CPAP_LNC014640)". Lineage: Eukaryota; Viridiplantae; Streptophyta; Magnoliopsida; Brassicales; Caricaceae. The record is from RNAcentral.